This 469-nucleotide ribosomal RNA is filed under the name uncultured bacterium. RNAcentral describes it as "partial 16S ribosomal RNA". It matches the Rfam family "Bacterial small subunit ribosomal RNA", at positions 28 to 507 of the family's 1533-position model. The record is from RNAcentral.
GACGAACGCUGGCGGCGUGCUUAACACAUGCAAGUCGAACGGAAAGGCCCUGCUUUUGUGGGGUGCUCGAGUGGCGAACGGGUGAGUAACACGUGAGUAACCUGCCCUUGACUUUGGGAUAACUUCAGGAAACUGGGGCUAAUACCGGAUAGGAGCUCCUGCUGCAUGGUGGGGGUUGGAAAGUUUCGGCGGUUGGGGAUGGACUCGCGGCUUAUCAGCUUGUUGGUGGGGUAGUGGCUUACCAAGGCUUUGACGGGUAGCCGGCCUGAGAGGGUGACCGGGCAAUAUGGGACCGAGAAGCGGCCCAGGCCCCCACGGGGGGCAGGCGGGGGGAAUUAUGCCAAAAGGGGGGGAGGCGGGAUGACGCAGCCCCGGGGGGGGAAGGAGGGCUUGGGGUUUGAAACCCUCUUCCGCCGGUAAGAAGGCUGGAGUGAGGUGAAGGGAAAAAGAAGCCCCGGCUAACUACGUG